AUGAACGCUGGCGGCGUGCCUAAUACAUGCAAGUCGAGCGAACGGACGAGAAGCUUGCUUCUCUGAUGUUAGCGGCGGACGGGUGAGUAACACGUGGAUAACCUACCUAUAAGACUGGGAUAACUUCGGGAAACCGGAGCUAAUACCGGAUAAUAUUUUGAACCGCAUGGUUCAAAAGUGAAAGACGGUCUUGCUGUCACUUAUCGAUGGAUCCGCGCUGCAUUAGCUAGUUGGUAAGGUAACGGCUUACCAAGGCAACGAUGCAUAGCCGACCUGAGAGGGUGAUCGGCCACACUGGAACUGAGACACGGUCCAGACUCCUACGGGAGGCAGCAGUAGGGAAUCUUCCGCAAUGGGCGAAAGCCUGACGGAGCAACGCCGCGUGAGUGAUGAAGGUCUUCGGAUCGUAAAACUCUGUUAUUAGGGAAGAACAUAUGUGUAAGUAACUGUGCACAUCUUGACGGUACCUAAUCAGAAAGCCACGGCUAACUACGUG
RNAcentral lists this ribosomal RNA (496 nucleotides) under uncultured bacterium. Its description in RNAcentral is "partial 16S ribosomal RNA". It matches the Rfam family "Bacterial small subunit ribosomal RNA", at positions 29 to 507 of the family's 1533-position model. The record is from RNAcentral.